GUGGGAAAGUAGAGCCGUGUGGCAGACACAGCAGAUUCUAGCACAGAAAAACUCAUUUUGAUGUCAGAAAUCUUGUCUGCGCCUCACAGUGGAUGGAGUCAGCAUUGCUGCUGAACACACUCAAUUUGACACUUUACACCUGCAGUGCUGAUUGGAUUAACUAAUUUGAGUCUGGGUUACACACUGACAUCAGUGUUGGGUCCACCAAACUAGAAGUAAGUCUCAAACUUCAGCUUCAGGUGCAGCGUCCAUGACGGCUGGAGACUCUGGCGUGGCAGCCAUGAUUCAUGAACACUUUAUUUUUCUCAGAUUUGCUAAAGUAACAAAAUCUGCAAUCAAAACUCAUCAUGAACUCAAGCUUUUCUUGUCAAAUGUCCCCAAGACCAAAUAUCAGAGGCAGCUAAAUUUCUCUAAAUGAACAAUUACAUUCACAGGUUACUGUGUGCUUCAUUAACUCUCAUUUAUGAAUUUUGCUUGAACACAAGAUAAUUGUAAAUAAUUGUUUUUUUAGUCAAAAUGGACCCUGCAUGUUUGUUCCCUUUUAUUUUAUCUGCUCAAACAUCAGUGUGUCUAGUUUGAUUUGUCGGUAAAUAGACAGCUUGUGCUGGAUGUUGGUGUGUGCGUCAGCAGUUUGUGGCUGAGGCGUUUCUUCAUUUGCUCUCACAAUCUCACAAUCUUUCACUCCACACAAAACAUCUUAUACUGAAAUAAAGUGAAUCCAUCAACAGUCAAAUAAGAGUCACAGGUCAGAAGUCAAAUAUGAUUGACAGCUCACCACACCAAAUAACACACCAGUAGACACAGAUAUCUAAUCCAAUAUUUCACUCUUCUGCUAUUAGUUUUCAUUCAGGGCCAGAAUUCAUUUGAAAAUGUAAGAUUAGCAAAAGCUGAUGUGUGAGCGGAAACUAACUGAGGCGGGGGGUGGAUUCACACUAAACCAGAUAAAUAUCACAGUUUAGUCAUGGUUCAGGUCAAUCUGAGUGUUUUCAGACAUUUUAAGAGUUACUAUCGUGAGCUUUACAGUGAACCGAUGAAGAAAAUGUUUCUCAGAUUAUUUUUGACCUGUUUCUGUUUGUGGCGUCUGGAUGGUGAGUUUAAAUGUGUUUUUAUCACUUAAUUUGCUUCUGUUAAUUUUGUAAAUUUGCUGAUGUCUAAGUGUGUCGCAUUUAACUAUUAAAUAGUUUUGUACAAUACAACAUAUUAGUUCAGUGUUAAAAAUGAUUUUUAUCACAUUUUUGAGUUUAUUAUUUCUUUCUCACAUAACACUUCAAUACCAAAAGUAAAGAAAACAACAGAAAAAGCAGUUGUUUAAACUACUUUAGUGCAAUUGUUUGUCUGUUACAACAGACAUAUUGAUUGGUUUUAUCAAUGAAGAAAUGUUUUCUGUAAACACCUGCAAUUGCUAAAAAAGAAGCAAUUUAACAAGUCAAGGGUCAUAAGCUCACCUAAACACGGAUCUCAGUGAUGGUCACUUAAAUGAAACAUCUAAACCUCUGUUAAUUCUCAAUAAGAUCUUCUGUAGA
Long non-coding RNA from Megalobrama amblycephala (Wuchang bream), 1523 nucleotides. RefSeq lists it as uncharacterized. The record is from RefSeq and is a predicted model, not a curated record. NCBI's taxonomy places the organism in Eukaryota, Metazoa, Chordata, Actinopteri, Cypriniformes, Xenocyprididae. The transcript is spliced from 3 exons.